This 799-nucleotide ribosomal RNA is filed under the name uncultured Glomus. Its description in RNAcentral is "SSU rRNA". It matches the Rfam family "Eukaryotic small subunit ribosomal RNA", at positions 314 to 1114 of the family's 1831-position model. Lineage: Eukaryota; Fungi; Glomeromycota; Glomeromycetes; Glomerales; Glomeraceae. The record is from RNAcentral.
AUCAACUUUCGAUGGUAGGAUAGAGGCCUACCAUGGUGGUAACGGGUAACGGGGUGUUAGGGCACGACACCGGAGAGGGAGCCUGAGAAACGGCUACCACAUCCAAGGAUGGCAGCAGGCGCGCAAAUUACCCAAUCCCGACACGGGGAGGUAGUGACAAUAAAUAACAAUACGGGGUUCUUUCGGAUCUCGUAAUUGGAAUGAGUACAAUUUAAAUCUCUUAACGAGGAACAAUUGGAGGGCGAGUCUGGUGCCAGCAGCCGCGGUAAUUCCAGCUCCAAUAGCGUAUAUUAAAGUUGUUGCAGUUAAAAAGCUCGUAGUUGAAUUUCGGGGUUAGUAGGUUGGUCAUGCCUCUGGUAUGUACUGGUCUCACUGAUUCCUCCUUCCUGAUGAACCGUAAUGCCAUUAAUUUGGUGUUGCGGGGAAUUUGGACUGUUACUUUGAAAAAAUUAGAGUGUUUAAAGCAAGCUAACGCUUGAAUACAUUAGCAUGGAAUAAUGAAAUAGGACGUUCGAUCCUAUUUUGUUGGUUUCUAGGAUUGACGUAAUGAUUAAUAGGGAUAGUUGGGGGCAUUAGUAUUCAAUUGUCAGAGGUGAAAUUCUUGGAUUUAUUGAAGACUAACUACUGCGAAAGCAUUUGCCAAGGAUGUUUUCAUUAAUCAAGAGCGAAAGUUAGGGGAUCGAAGACGAUCAGAUACCGUCGUAGUCUUAACCAUAAACUAUGCCGACUAGGGAUCGGAUGAUGUUAAUUUUUUAAUGACUCAUUCGGCGCCUUACGGGAAACCAAAGUGUUUGGGUUC